Molecule: unclassified non-coding RNA, 280 nt
Filed under: uncultured Verticillium
Lineage: Eukaryota; Fungi; Ascomycota; Sordariomycetes; Hypocreales
Description: partial contains 5.8S ribosomal RNA, internal transcribed spacer 2, and large subunit ribosomal RNA
Rfam family: 5.8S ribosomal RNA (bases 1-53)
Source: RNAcentral
GAACGCACAUUGCGCCCGCCAGUAUUCUGGCGGGCAUGCCUGUUCGAGCGUCAUUUCAACCCUCAAGCCCCAGUGGCCUGGUGUUGGGGACCGGCGACCUCGCCCGGGGGAACACCCCCGGCGCGUCCGCCGCCCCCGAAAUGAAUUGGCGGCCCCGUCGCGGCCUCCUCUGCGUAGUAGCACAACCUCGCAGCGGGAGCGCGACGCGGCCACUGCCGUAAAACGCCCAACUUUUUUUAGAGUUGACCUCGGAUCAGGUAGGAAUACCCGCUGAACUUAA